GGGGCUGAUUCUGGAUUCGACGGGAUUUGCGAAACCCAAGGUGCAUGCCGAGGGGCGGUUGGCCUCGUAAAAAGCCGCAAAAAAUAGUCGCAAACGACGAAAACUACGCUUUAGCAGCUUAAUAAACUGCUUAGAGCCCUCUCUCCCUAGCCUCCGCUCUUAGGACGGGGAUCAAGAGAGGUCAAACCCAAAAGAGAUCGCGUGGAAGCCCUGCCUGGGGUUGAAGCGUUAAAACUUAAUCAGGCUAGUUUGUUAGUGGCGUGUCCGUCCGCAGCUGGCAAGCGAAUGUAAAGACUGACUAAGCAUGUAGUACCGAGGAUGUAGGAAUUUCGGACGCGGGUUCAACUCCCGCCAGCUCCACCA
This 363-nucleotide transfer-messenger RNA is filed under the name Escherichia coli. It matches the Rfam family "transfer-messenger RNA". From Rfam's summary of the family: Bacterial tmRNA, also known as 10Sa RNA or SsrA, is named for its dual tRNA and mRNA-like properties. Its role is to liberate the mRNA from a stalled ribosome. Lineage: Bacteria; Pseudomonadati; Pseudomonadota; Gammaproteobacteria; Enterobacterales; Enterobacteriaceae. The record is from RNAcentral.